Puntigrus tetrazona (Sumatra barb) is the source of this 350-nucleotide long non-coding RNA. RefSeq lists it as uncharacterized. The record is from RefSeq and is a predicted model, not a curated record. The transcript has 3 exons. NCBI's taxonomy places the organism in Eukaryota, Metazoa, Chordata, Actinopteri, Cypriniformes, Cyprinidae.
AUUAUGUUUUAUCAAAUCUAAAUUUAAUACAGCCUUCUACCAGGUGAUUUCAGAGCACUUGAUGCUUCCAUCUGCUAAAUAAACUUUGUGCAGAUGCUGAUUUCCUUUUCCAGCAGAACUUAAGCACCUGUCCACAAAGGCAAGACUACUUCCAAGUGUUUUACUGACCAUGAUAUUCCUUUGGACUGGUCAAUUAACUUGCCUGACCUGAAGCCCAUAUGAAGCCUAUGGGAUAUUUAGCCCUAACUACAGAAAUGAUAAAACUGAUGCCACCAUGACUGUUCUGGACAUUGGCUUACUGACUGGAUUUGAUGUUGAUGAAAAAGAUCUUAAAGAGUUGUCUUCAAGGA